RNAcentral lists this unclassified non-coding RNA (1955 nucleotides) under Hevea brasiliensis (rubber tree). Lineage: Eukaryota; Viridiplantae; Streptophyta; Magnoliopsida; Malpighiales; Euphorbiaceae. The record is from RNAcentral.
GUAGGUACUGAGGUUGGAUUUACCAUUUGCUAUUAAAAAAUCAUGAAGUAUAAUCAGUGGAGCUAUCUCAAUCUUGUUUUGAUAUAACUAAAACACAGAACUAUGGUUACCCUUGUGUUUUGAAUAGUAGAAAUGCUUUUGAAUUUAUAUUGCGAAAUGUUCUUGAGAUACACAAGUCCAGAUUAAAUUAUUUGUUUGUUGAAGACUGUUGAAACCUAAUUCCUUUGAACUCAUAUAUCUGGUGGACCCUCUGGUAGGUGUACUUUCUGGUUGCUUUAGUUAUCUACUAAUUUUUUGGUUUUGGUAUCAUUUCAUGCAUUGAAAUUAGUUUGCUUUGCAAAGUAUUAGUAUUAAGUCCUUCUGAGUUCUGAACUUGGGACAAACAGUGUACUUGAUGUAAAGUCCUUUUGUUGUAAAUAAAUUUACGUCUCUUUGAAUGGUAGUUGUUGCGCAAUGUUAUCUUUUGCUCAGUAUCCACUUUAGAGCCCAAUUUGGUAUGACUUUAAAGAGUUGUAUAUUAGUGUCUCUGUAUUUCCAUAUCUGAUGACUUCAUUAUUACAUAGAGAAGUGAAGUCUGCUGAAGGAAAAGGGAAGGGUCUGCCACAGUCACUUCGUGCAUUUGCUCGGGUUCUAUGUUGCACAUCUCAUCAAGAUAUAAGUGAUUUGGUCAUCGAAGCUGCACAAAAUGAUGGCCGUUUGGCUAGGCGCCCUUUUAAAAGUAGGAGCAGAGAGAUCCAGGCACAUGAGAUCUUGUUGUCGCAUCUCACUCAACUCAUUGAGGAAUAUGAUACCUCUGUUAAGGUGACUUGUGUAGUUUCUCCUCAUUGUUUUAACUUAUAUUUUUGUUUAAAUUUAGUUUUAUUGUUAGAUACCUUAGUAUGGACAUGCAUGGUGGGUUAAGGUUUUGUUGGCUCAGCACAAACUCCAAUUGGUUACUUCAUGCAACUCAAAAAGAUAUCCAAUCAACUUUCAAGACAGAUAUUGCCCAAUUUUAAUAGAAAAUAUGGAGCAGAAUUUUGGUACAGGCUAAAGUUAGUAUUACGGUCGUCUCAACAUGCAUAUAUCAGAGUUCAACAAUAAUGGGAUACAAAAAAUGCAACUUGCAUCUUGUUGAGAUAUAUCUUGCAUGAAAUGUUGACAUUAUUUUUGGAACAAAUUAAAAUGGAAUUCAUUUCAUUUACAGAUGAGCUCAUGAGUUCCUGUGUUUAGAAUCUUAUCUGUUAAAUAUAAAUUUUAGAUGCAAAUUCUACCAACUCUAGUCUAACUAAUUUCAUAGAAUUAAAGAUAUAGAAUUCCAAAUUAAUUUUUGUGAAUAUCAACUAUGUCAACAUGGAUUUGUAAAUGACUUGCAUAAAAUUGUAAUGGAAUUCAUUACUAUUAAACAAGCUCUAAAAGAUAAUCAUGCUUUGAUACGGAAGCUUUUCGGUUGUUUUAAACCUUUGCUUGUACUGUACAGUCGUUGGGGCAUGCUGAUUCUCCCAACACGUGUAAAAGAUUUGCUCUUCAAAGGCAAAUGGCUCUAGAUCUCCUCACUGGUGAGCUUCGUAUCCUUAAAUCUGCUUCGGCAUGGUUGAAGAAUUAUUGUGCAUCCUUGUUACAGCAUGCCGACAUGAAUGAUGCUGCUAGUUAUGAUGGAAGUGUUCAAGAAUGAGCAAGCAAAUAAGAGGAGAAUUUACAUUUGCUAUCAGAUACUUUACAUGAAUCAAUUUAGAACUAGACAUGCGAAAAUCAGGGAAGACCGCAAAUUAUUCAGUUCUGCAUAGGCAUAGCGAUCCUGGAGAACCCAAUUACAAUCAAAGGCACUUGAUCAUCUUGAACAAUUUUGUGAAGCACAUGGAAGGAUUGUUAUUCUAUGUGACAAUGAUAUGUUGUAUGCAAUGUAGAAUUAAAAAUCUGAGAAUUUAUUGUAAAAAAUGUUCAGGUAAUGCAAUUUUCUUAGUGAAAACUUUAUGCCG